RNAcentral lists this ribosomal RNA (498 nucleotides) under uncultured bacterium. RNAcentral's name for it is "partial 16S ribosomal RNA". It matches the Rfam family "Bacterial small subunit ribosomal RNA", at positions 30 to 523 of the family's 1533-position model. The record is from RNAcentral.
AUUGAACGCUGGCGGCAUGCCUUACACAUGCAAGUCGAACGGUAACAGGUCUUCGGAUGCUGACGAGUGGCGAACGGGUGAGUAAUACAUCGGAACGUGCCUAGUAGUGGGGGAUAACUACUCGAAAGAGUGGCUAAUACCGCAUGAGAUCUACGGAUGAAAGCAGGGGAUCGCAAGACCUUGUGCUACUAGAGCGGCCGAUGGCAGAUUCGGUAGUUGGUGGGAUAAAAGCUUACCAAGCCGACGAUCUGUAGCUGGUCUGAGAGGACGAUCAGCCAGACUGGGACUGAGAAACGGCCCAGACUCCUACGGGAGGCAGCAGUGGGGAAUUUUGGACAAGGGGCGAAAGCCUGAUCCAGCAAUGCCGCGUGCAGGAUGAAGGCCUUCGGGUUGUAAACUGCUUUUGUACGGAACGAAAAGCCCCGGGUUAAUACCCUGGGGUCAUGACGGUACCGUAAGAAUAAGCACCGGCUAACUACGUGCCAGCCGCCGCCGUAA